AGAGUUUGAUCCUGGCUCAGAACGUACGCUGGCGGCACGCCUAACACAUGCAAGUCGAACGAAGUAGCAAUACUUAGUGGCGAACGGGUGAGUAUAAUGUGGGUAUCUGCCCUUUGGUUUGGAAUAACACGAGGAAACUUGUGCUAAUACCAAAUAAGCCUUCACAGGGAAAGCUUUAGCGCCAAAGGAUGAGCCCGCACUUGAUUAGCUAGUUGGUAAGGUAAAGGCUUACCAAGGCUACGAUCAAUAGCUGAUCUGAGAGGAUGAUCAGCCACAUUGGGACUGAGACACGGCCCAAACUUCUACGGAAGGCAGCAGUGGGGAGUCUUGCACAAUGGGGGAAACCCUGAUGCAGCGAUGCCGCGUGAGUGAAGAAGGCCUUUGGGUUGUAAAGCUCUUUCGUCGGGGAAGAAAAUGACUGUACCCGAAUAAGAAGGUCCGGCUAACUUCGUGCCAGCAGCCGCGGUAAUACGAAGGGACCUAGCGUAGUUCGGAAUUACUGGGCUUAAAGAGCACGUAGGUGGUUAAGAAAGUUGGUGGUGAAAUCCCAAGGCUUAACCUUGGAACUGCCACCAAAACUUUUUAACUAGAGUGUGAUUGAGGUAAGCGGAAUUUCUAGUGUAGAGGUGAAAUUCGUAGAUAUUAGAAAGAACACCAAUUGCGAAGGCAGCUUUCUGGAUCAUUACUGACACUGAGGUGCGAAAGCAUGGGUAGCGAAGAGGAUUAGAUACCCUCGUAGUCCAUGCUGUAAACGAUGUGUGCUAGACGUUGGAAAUUUAUUUUUCAGUGUCGCAGCAAAAGCGUUAAGCACACCGCCUGGGGAGUACGACCGCAAGGUUAAAACUCAAAUGAAUUGACGGGGACCCGCACAAGCAGUGGAGCAUGUGGUUUAAUUCGAAGAUACGCGCAGAACCUUACCAACACUUGACAUGUUCGUCGCGACUUUAAGAGAUUAGAGUCUUCGGUUCGGCCGGACGAAACACAGGUGCUGCAUGGCUGUCGUCAGCUCGUGUCGUGAGAUGUUGGGUUAAGUCCCGCAACGAGCGCAACCCUUACUUUUAGUUGCUACCAUUUAGUUGGGCACUCUAAAAGAACUGCCAGUGAUAAGCUGGAGGAAGGUGGGGAUGACGUCAAGUCCUCAUGGCCCUUACGUGUUGGGCUACACACGUGCUACAAUGGUAUUUACAGUGGGAUGCUAAGAGGCAACUCCAAGCAAACCCCCAAAAGAUACCUCAGUUCGGAUUGUACUCUGCAACUCGAGUACAUGAAGCUGGAAUUGCUAGUAAUCGCGGAUCAGCGCGCCGCGGUGAAUACGUUCCCGGGUCUUGUACACACCGCCCGUCACACCAUGGAAGUUGGUUACACCUUAAGGCAAAGCGUAAAACCUUUGACUACGGUACGAUCAGCGACUGGGGUGAAGUCGUAACAAGGUAACC
Molecule: ribosomal RNA, 1436 nt
Filed under: uncultured bacterium
Lineage: Bacteria
Description: bacterial SSU rRNA
Rfam family: Bacterial small subunit ribosomal RNA
Source: RNAcentral